GAUCCGGGGAUGUCCGAAUGGGGAAACCUAGCACCAGUCAUGUGGUGUUGCCUCCGCCUGAAUGUAUAGGGCGGUUGGUGGUAACGCGGGGAAGUGAAACAUCUCAGUACCCGUAGGAAUAGAAAACAAUUUAGUGAUUCCGUGAGUAGUGGUGAGCGAAAGCGGAGGAGGCUAAACCGUGCGCGUGUGAUAGCCGGCGGGCGUUGCGUGUGCGGGGUUGUGGGACCUUCCGGGGGAGACCGCCGUCUCUUCAGGCAGUGAGAAAUCGGUGGGGUAGUCGAACGCUCUGGGAAGGGCGGCCGUAGACCGUGAGAGCCGGGUAGGCGAAACUUUGCCGACUGUUGGGAGUGUUCCCGAGUAGCACGGGGCCCGAGAAAUCCUGUGUGAAUCUGCCAGGACCACCUGGUAAGCCUAAAUACUUCCUGAUGACCGAUAGUGAACAAGUACCGUGAGGGAAAGGUGAAAAGCGCCCCGGUGAGGGGUCGUGAAAUAGUACCUGAAACCGUGUGCCUACAAGCCGUAGGAGCGUAGGCAAGCUUGCUUGUCUGUGAUGUGACUGCGUGCCUUUUGAAGAAUGAGCCUGCGAGUUAUGGUGUGUGGCGAGGUUAACCCGUGUGGGGGAGCCGUAGCGAAAGCGAGUCUGAAUAGGGCGUUUGGAGUCGCAUGCUGUAGACCCGAAGCGGAGUGAUCUACGCAUGGGCAGGUUGAAGCGCGGGUAAGACCGCGUGGAGGACCGAACCCACCAGGGUUGAAAACCUGGGGGAUGACCUGUGUGUAGGGGUGAAAGGCCAAUCAAACUCCGUGAUAGCUGGUUCUCCCCGAAAUGCAUUUAGGUGCAGCGUUGCGUGGUGCUUGCCGGAGGUAGGGCUCUGGUUGGCUGAUGGGCCCGACAAGGUUACUGACGUCAGCCAAACUUCGAAUGCCGGUAAGUGGAGCGUGGCAGUGAGACUGCGGGGGAUAAGCUCCGUGGUCGAGAGGGAAACAGCCCAGAUCACCGACUAAGGCCCCUAAGCGUGUGCU
This 1020-nucleotide ribosomal RNA is filed under the name Microbispora amethystogenes. RNAcentral describes it as "bacterial LSU rRNA". It matches the Rfam family "Bacterial large subunit ribosomal RNA", at positions 101 to 1060 of the family's 2925-position model. Lineage: Bacteria; Bacillati; Actinomycetota; Actinomycetes; Streptosporangiales; Streptosporangiaceae. The record is from RNAcentral.